UGGGGAAUAUUGCGCAAUGGGGGAAACCCUGACGCAGCGACGCCGUGUGAGUGAUGAAGGUUUUCGGAUCGUAAAGCUCUGUCGGGUGGGAAGAAUAAAGGCUGUGUAAAUAAUGCAGUCUGAUGACGGUACCACCAAAGGAAGCACCGGCUAACUCCGUGCCAGCAGCCGCGGUAAUACGGAGGGUGCAAGCGUUGUUCGGAAUUAUUGGGCGUAAAGGGCGUGUAGGCGGGUAUGCAGGUCAGGUGUGAAAUCCCUCGGCUCAACCGAGGAAGUGCAUUUGAAACCGUAUAUCUUGAGUACGAGAGAGGCAGAUGGAAUUCCCAGUGUAGAGGUGAAAUUCAUAGAUAUUGGGAAGAACACCGGUGGCGAAGGCGGUCUGCUGGCUCGAUACUGACGCUGAGACGCGAAAGCGUGGGGAGCAAACA
RNAcentral lists this ribosomal RNA (428 nucleotides) under uncultured bacterium. Its description in RNAcentral is "bacterial SSU rRNA". It matches the Rfam family "Bacterial small subunit ribosomal RNA", at positions 355 to 774 of the family's 1533-position model. The record is from RNAcentral.